This 2204-nucleotide ribosomal RNA is filed under the name Salmonella enterica subsp. enterica serovar Typhi. Its description in RNAcentral is "bacterial LSU rRNA". It matches the Rfam family "Bacterial large subunit ribosomal RNA", at positions 1 to 2130 of the family's 2925-position model. The record is from RNAcentral. Lineage: Bacteria; Pseudomonadati; Pseudomonadota; Gammaproteobacteria; Enterobacterales; Enterobacteriaceae.
UUAAGCGACUAAGCGUACACGGUGGAUGCCCUGGCAGUCAGAGGCGAUGAAGGGCGUGCUAAUCUGCGAUAAGCGCCGGUAAGGUGAUAUGAACCGUUAUAACCGGCGAUACCCGAAUGGGGAAACCCAGUGUGAUUCGUCACACUAUCAUUAACUGAAUCCAUAGGUUAAUGAGGCGAACCGGGGGAACUGAAACAUCUAAGUACCCCGAGGAAAAGAAAUCAACCGAGAUUCCCCCAGUAGCGGCGAGCGAACGGGGAGGAGCCCAGAGCCUGAAUCAGCAUGUGUGUUAGUGGAAGCGUCUGGAAAGGCGCGCGAUACAGGGUGACAGCCCCGUACACAAAAGCGCAUAUGCUGUGAGCUCGAUGAGUAGGGCGGGACACGUGGUAUCCUGUCUGAAUAUGGGGGGACCAUCCUCCAAGGCUAAAUACUCCUGACUGACCGAUAGUGAACCAGUACCGUGAGGGAAAGGCGAAAAGAACCCCGGCGAGGGGAGUGAAAAAGAACCUGAAACCGUGUACGUACAAGCAGUGGGAGCCCCACCACUAAGCCAGUGGUGAACUCCACAUACGCAUCCUUUGCUGAGGAGACGGUUAACGGAGCGAAAGCGACGUUCAACCUCAAAAGAAGCAGAGGGGGCUUAGUGGUGGGGUGACUGCGUACCUUUUGUAUAAUGGGUCAGCGACUUAUAUUCUGUAGCAAGGUUAACUGUAUAGGGGAGCCGGAGGGAAACCGAGUCUUAACCGGGCGUUAAGUUGCAGGGUAUAGACCCGAAACCCGGUGAUCUAGCCAUGGGCAGGUUGAAGGUUGGGUAACACUAACUGGAGGACCGAACCGACUAAUGUUGAAAAAUUAGCGGAUGACCUGUGGCUGGGGGUGAAAGGCCAAUCAAACCGGGAGAUAGCUGGUUCUCCCCGAAAGCUAUUUAGGUAGCGCCUCGUGAAUUCAUCUCCGGGGGUAGAGCACUGUUUCGGCUAGGGGGCCAUCCCGGCUUACCAACCCGAUGCAAACUGCGAAUACCGGAGAAUGUUAUCACGGGAGACACACGGCGGGUGCUAAUGUCCGUCGUGAAGAGGGAAACAACCCAGACCGCCAGCUAAGGUCCCAAAGUCAUGGUUAAGUGGGAAACGAUGUGGGAAGGCCCAGACAGCCAGGAUGUUGGCUUAGAAGCAGCCAUCAUUUAAAGAAAGCGUAAUAGCUCACUGGUCGAGUCGGCCUGCGCGGAAGAUGUAACGGGGCUAAACCAUGCACCGAAGCUGCGGCAGCGACACCGUGUGUUGUUGGGUAGGGGAGCGUUCUGUAAGCCUGUGAAGGUGUGCUGUGAGGCAUGCUGGAGGUAUCAGAAGUGCGAAUGCUGACAUAAGUAACGAUAAAGCGGGUGAAAAGCCCGCUCGCCGGAAGACCAAGGGUUCCUGUCCAACGUUAAUCGGGGCAGGGUGAGUCGACCCCUAAGGCGAGGCCGAAAGGCGUAGUCGAUGGGAAACGGGUUAAUAUUCCCGUACUUGGUGUUACUGCGAAGGGGGGACGGAGAAGGCUAUGUUGGCCGGGCGACGGUUGUCCCGGUUUAAGCGUGUAGGUAUGUGUUCCAGGUAAAUCCGGUUCACUUUAACACUGAGGCGUGACGACGAGGCACUACGGUGCUGAAGCAACAAAUGCCCUGCUUCCAGGAAAAGCCUCUAAGCAUCAGGUAACAUCAAAUCGUACCCCAAACCGACACAGGUGGUCAGGUAGAGAAUACCAAGGCGCUUGAGAGAACUCGGGUGAAGGAACUAGGCAAAAUGGUGCCGUAACUUCGGGAGAAGGCACGCUGACACGUAGGUGAAGUGAUUUACUCACGGAGCUGAAGUCAGCCGAAGAUACCAGCUGGCUGCAACUGUUUAUUAAAAACACAGCACUGUGCAAACACGAAAGUGGACGUAUACGGUGUGACGCCUGCCCGGUGCCGGAAGGUUAAUUGAUGGGGUCAGCGCAAGCGAAGCUCCUGAUCGAAGCCCCGGUAAACGGCGGCCGUAACUAUAACGGUCCUAAGGUAGCGAAAUUCCUUGUCGGGUAAGUUCCGACCUGCACGAAUGGCGUAAUGAUGGCCAGGCUGUCUCCACCCGAGACUCAGUGAAAUUGAACUCGCUGUGAAGAUGCAGUGUACCCGCGGCAAGACGGAAAGACCCCGUGAACCUUUACUAUAGCUUGACACUGAACAUUGAGCC